This 1676-nucleotide ribosomal RNA is filed under the name Salmonella enterica. RNAcentral's name for it is "partial 23S ribosomal RNA". It matches the Rfam family "Bacterial large subunit ribosomal RNA", at positions 1271 to 2925 of the family's 2925-position model. RNAcentral also lists the same sequence under 1 other name. Lineage: Bacteria; Pseudomonadati; Pseudomonadota; Gammaproteobacteria; Enterobacterales; Enterobacteriaceae. The record is from RNAcentral.
UGCUGGAGGUAUCAGAAGUGCGAAUGCUGACAUAAGUAACGAUAAAGCGGGUGAAAAGCCCGCUCGCCGGAAGACCAAGGGUUCCUGUCCAACGUUAAUCGGGGCAGGGUGAGUCGACCCCUAAGGCGAGGCCGAAAGGCGUAGUCGAUGGGAAACGGGUUAAUAUUCCCGUACUUGGUGUUACUGCGAAGGGGGGACGGAGAAGGCUAUGUUGGCCGGGCGACGGUUGUCCCGGUUUAAGCGUGUAGGUGUGUGUUCCAGGUAAAUCCGGUUCACUUUAACACUGAGGCGUGACGACGAGGCACUACGGUGCUGAAGCAACAAAUGCCCUGCUUCCAGGAAAAGCCUCUAAGCAUCAGGUAACAUCAAAUCGUACCCCAAACCGACACAGGUGGUCAGGUAGAGAAUACCAAGGCGCUUGAGAGAACUCGGGUGAAGGAACUAGGCAAAAUGGUGCCGUAACUUCGGGAGAAGGCACGCUGACAUGUAGGUGAAGUGAUUUACUCAUGGAGCUGAAGUCAGUCGAAGAUACCAGCUGGCUGCAACUGUUUAUUAAAAACACAGCACUGUGCAAACACGAAAGUGGACGUAUACGGUGUGACGCCUGCCCGGUGCCGGAAGGUUAAUUGAUGGGGUCAGCGCAAGCGAAGCUCCUGAUCGAAGCCCCGGUAAACGGCGGCCGUAACUAUAACGGUCCUAAGGUAGCGAAAUUCCUUGUCGGGUAAGUUCCGACCUGCACGAAUGGCGUAAUGAUGGCCAGGCUGUCUCCACCCGAGACUCAGUGAAAUUGAACUCGCUGUGAAGAUGCAGUGUACCCGCGGCAAGACGGAAAGACCCCGUGAACCUUUACUAUAGCUUGACACUGAACAUUGAGCCUUGAUGUGUAGGAUAGGUGGGAGGCUUUGAAGUGUGGACGCCAGUCUGCAUGGAGCCGACCUUGAAAUACCACCCUUUAAUGUUUGAUGUUCUAACGUGGACCCGUGAUCCGGGUUGCGGACAGUGUCUGGUGGGUAGUUUGACUGGGGCGGUCUCCUCCUAAAGAGUAACGGAGGAGCACGAAGGUUGGCUAAUCCUGGUCGGACAUCAGGAGGUUAGUGCAAUGGCAUAAGCCAGCUUGACUGCGAGCGUGACGGCGCGAGCAGGUGCGAAAGCAGGUCAUAGUGAUCCGGUGGUUCUGAAUGGAAGGGCCAUCGCUCAACGGAUAAAAGGUACUCCGGGGAUAACAGGCUGAUACCGCCCAAGAGUUCAUAUCGACGGCGGUGUUUGGCACCUCGAUGUCGGCUCAUCACAUCCUGGGGCUGAAGUAGGUCCCAAGGGUAUGGCUGUUCGCCAUUUAAAGUGGUACGCGAGCUGGGUUUAGAACGUCGUGAGACAGUUCGGUCCCUAUCUGCCGUGGGCGCUGGAGAACUGAGGGGGGCUGCUCCUAGUACGAGAGGACCGGAGUGGACGCAUCACUGGUGUUCGGGUUGUCAUGCCAAUGGCACUGCCCGGUAGCUAAAUGCGGAAGAGAUAAGUGCUGAAAGCAUCUAAGCACGAAACUUGCCCCGAGAUGAGUUCUCCCUGAGACUUAGAGUCUCCUGAAGGAACGUUGAAGACGACGACGUUGAUAGGCCGGGUGUGUAAGCGCAGCGAUGCGUUGAGCUAACCGGUACUAAUGAACCGUGAGGCUUAACCUU